This 102-nucleotide small RNA is filed under the name Shewanella pealeana. The record is from RNAcentral. RNAcentral also lists the same sequence under 1 other name. Lineage: Bacteria; Pseudomonadati; Pseudomonadota; Gammaproteobacteria; Alteromonadales; Shewanellaceae.
UAAACCUUUUUUUACCCAUAGGGUAGACAACAGUAGCGCACGGCUCCUAGUGAGCCAUUCCCCUAGACCCAUAACAAUCGGAAUAGUUUUGGGUCUUUUUUU